This 457-nucleotide ribosomal RNA is filed under the name uncultured bacterium. Its description in RNAcentral is "partial 16S ribosomal RNA". It matches the Rfam family "Bacterial small subunit ribosomal RNA", at positions 338 to 795 of the family's 1533-position model. The record is from RNAcentral.
CCUACGGGAGACAGCAGUGGGGAAUAUUGCACAAUGGGGGAAACCCUGAUGCAGCGACGCCGCGUGAGUGAAGAAGUAUUUCGGUAUGUAAAGCUCUAUCAGCAGGGAAGAAACCCACCCUCCGGGGUGGCUGACGGUACCUGACUAAGAAGCCCCGGCUAACUACGUGCCAGCAGCCGCGGUAAUACGUAGGGGGCAAGCGUUAUCCGGAUUUACUGGGUGUAAAGGGAGCGUAGGUGGCAAGGCAAGUCAGAUGUGAAAACCCGGGGCCCAACCCCGGGAGUGCAUUUGAAACUGUCUGGCUAGAGUGCAGAAGAGGUAAGUGGAAUUCCUAGUGUAGCGGUGAAAUGCAUAGAUAUUAGGAGGAACACCGGCGGCGAAGGCGGCCUGCUGGACCGCGACUGACGUUGAGGCUCGAAAGCGUGGGGAGCGAACAGGAUUAGAUACCCGAGUAGUC